This 735-nucleotide long non-coding RNA is filed under the name Olea europaea subsp. europaea. The record is from RNAcentral. Lineage: Eukaryota; Viridiplantae; Streptophyta; Magnoliopsida; Lamiales; Oleaceae.
AUUUUUUAGUCACGAAUUAUAAAAUUUUAAGUUCACAAAUCAAAUCGUUGAGGUCACAGAUUAUGAAAUUUUAAGGUCACAAACCAUCGCAACCUCACCCAAAGCUAACACAACUACCACCGGCAAAACACACAACCGAACACGACAAGAGAUUGCACCACACAACCGUCGACCACCAUCACUUUGCCGACACCACUACCACCGGCAAAUCAGGAAUGAGCAGAGAAGAGGCAAGCUCCACGCGGUCCACAUGGACCACACCACUACCUAGAUCCAUCGCACUGCAACCUAGAUCCACCAUACCGGGCGACGCUGUUGCGAAACACACACCAUACCGCCACCUAGAUCCACACCAUACCACCACACCACACCAUAUCGUCAGGCAGUCCAGUUUAGUAGAGAAGAAGCACGCUCACAACUCCAUCGAAGUCUCCGAUCAGAGAAGAAUCGACUCUCAUACCCCCAGGUAAAUGCCAUGGACCGCCGGUGAAAUUCCCAAUCGUCGCAAGAUGCAAUUGUGGGUUAACGGGAGAGAAGAUGCUAUGUGAGAUUGAAAAUCUUAGGGAUGAAAUUGCCGAUGUAAAUGGCGAUGACUGAUGGGCGAAGGGAGAAGAGAGAUGAUGUCGGAGAUGGCAGUGAUUAGUGAAAAAUGAGAGAGAAGCGAGAGAGAUCUAGAGAGAGAAGGAAAUUGUGUAGCACUGCUUACGGUUUGGGUGGACUGGUGGGGCGGUUGGG